GCGUGAUAAUUCGCCCUUUAAUUGUGGGCUUGUACGAAUGGGUUAACGAAGGUUAAGCUGUCUCCCUUUUAAGAAUAGAAAUUAAUUUCUAGGUGAAAAGGCCUGGAUAAAAUCACAGGACAAAAAGACCCCAUAGAGCUUUGUUUUAUUAGGAUUUAAUGAGGAAGUUUAUGGUAUUUUUUAUUUUAUUCUAUAAAACUUAACUGGGGCGGUUGAGGAAAAUUUUUAUCUUCCUUUAUUUUAUCGUUUGUUAGACUUGAUUUUUUGAUCCUAUUUUAGAUGUAAGAAAAGCUACCUUGGGGGUAACAGACUAAUUUUUUUUGAGAGUUCGUAUUGACAAAAAAGU
RNAcentral lists this ribosomal RNA (346 nucleotides) under Ampharete finmarchica. RNAcentral's name for it is "partial 16S ribosomal RNA". It matches the Rfam family "Bacterial large subunit ribosomal RNA", at positions 1959 to 2517 of the family's 2925-position model. The record is from RNAcentral. Lineage: Eukaryota; Metazoa; Annelida; Polychaeta; Terebellida; Ampharetidae.